CCUACGGGUGGCAGCAGUAGGGAAUAUUGCUCAAUGGGGGAAACCCUGAAGCAGCAACGCCGCGUGGAGGAUGAAGGUUUUCGGAUUGUAAACUCCUUUUGUUAGAGAAGAUAAUGACGGUAUCUAACGAAUAAGCACCGGCUAACUCCGUGCCAGCAGCCGCGGUAAUACGGAGGGUGCAAGCGUUACUCGGAAUCGCCGGGGGGAAAGAGCGCGUAGGCGGGAUAGCAAGUCAGAUGUGAAAUCCUAGGGCUUAACCAUAGAACUGCAUUUGAAACUGUUAUUCUAGAGUAUGGGAGAGGUAGGUGGAAUUCUUGGUGUAGGGGUAAAAUCCGUAGAGAUCAAGAGGAAUACUCAUGGCGAAGGCGACCUGCUAGAACAUAACUGACGCUGAUGCGCGAAAGCGUGGGGAGCAAACAGGAUUAGAUACCCGGGUAGUC
This 440-nucleotide ribosomal RNA is filed under the name uncultured bacterium. Its description in RNAcentral is "partial 16S ribosomal RNA". It matches the Rfam family "Bacterial small subunit ribosomal RNA", at positions 338 to 795 of the family's 1533-position model. The record is from RNAcentral.